AAACUGUAUUCGUUCUGGUUAAAGAAGCAUGGUACAAAAAAAAAUGAAGGGAUUAAAAAGGCCAACAGAAAGACUAGACUGGAAACGAGGUUAGCAGCUGAAACUUCCAUCCACAGAAACGUUAGACGAAAUUGCUGGAGCUUUGGAGAAGUCCCCUCUUCCAGAUCAGUCUCUGUGUCAGGAAGCAUUUGAUAUAAAGAAUGCAUUUCAAUUAAUGGAAGGAGAAGAAACUCUCAAGUGUAUUGGAUGAGGGACAAACUGGACUGUUAACAUUUCAACUGAAGAAUUUACAAGGUAAUGUGCUGACAUCAUAACAAGGUUGGAGGGAGGCCCGUCUCACAAGAAUGUGGAAACCCAAUCAUCAUGCUUAUGAACCACAAAAGGAUCUAGAUACUGAUGUUCCUAUACACUUAUUUCUUAUGUCGAAUAGUGCAAUUCAAAUUCUAUUCUUGAAGCUUAAAGAUAACAUUGGAGCUGGCCCAAACUAGUAAAA
This 493-nucleotide long non-coding RNA is filed under the name Pan troglodytes (chimpanzee). RNAcentral describes it as "long non-coding RNA NONPTRT003579". Lineage: Eukaryota; Metazoa; Chordata; Mammalia; Primates; Hominidae. The record is from RNAcentral.